GUGAGGAAUAUUAGUCAAUGGGCGCAAGCCUGAACUAGCCAAGCCGCGUGAAGGAAGACGGCCCUAUGGGUUGUAAACUUCUUUUGUAGGGGAAAAAACCUCCGGACGUGUCCGGAGCUGAUUGUACUCUACGAAUAAGCAUCGGCUAACUCCGUGCCAGCAGCCGCGGUAAUACGGAGGAUGCAGGCGUUAUCCGGAUUUAUUAGGUUUAAAGGGUGCGUAGGCGGGUUAUUAAGUCAGUGGUGAAAUCCUGCAGCUUAACUGUAGAACUGCCAUUGAUACUGAUAAUCUUGAAUGUGGUUGAGGCAGGCGGAAUGUGUCGUGUAGCGGUGAAAUGCUUAGAUAUGACACAGAACACCAAUUGCGAAGGCAGCUUGCUAAGCCAUGAUUGACGCUGAGGCACGAAAGCGUGGGGAUCAAACAGGAUUAGAAACCCCUGUAGUCC
RNAcentral lists this ribosomal RNA (445 nucleotides) under uncultured bacterium. RNAcentral's name for it is "bacterial SSU rRNA". It matches the Rfam family "Bacterial small subunit ribosomal RNA", at positions 354 to 796 of the family's 1533-position model. The record is from RNAcentral.